GUUGCUUCACGACUGGAAGAAUGGCCUGAUAAUAUAAUUGUUUGGUCAUUCUGUAGAGAGAGCAUAGAUUGAUUUUGGCCAGAAUUAAACAGCAUGGCGCCUUGCUACCCACGUCAGUGUUACCUGUCUCCUGGCACAUCU
This 141-nucleotide small nucleolar RNA is filed under the name Oryza punctata. Its description in RNAcentral is "small nucleolar RNA snoR137". It matches the Rfam family "small nucleolar RNA snoR137". The record is from Rfam by way of RNAcentral. Lineage: Eukaryota; Viridiplantae; Streptophyta; Magnoliopsida; Poales; Poaceae.